RNAcentral lists this unclassified non-coding RNA (258 nucleotides) under uncultured fungus. RNAcentral describes it as "partial contains 5.8S ribosomal RNA, internal transcribed spacer 2, and large subunit ribosomal RNA". The record is from RNAcentral. Lineage: Eukaryota; Fungi.
AACGCACAUUGCGCCCGGCAGCAUUCUGCCGGGCAUGCCUGUUCGAGCGUCAUUUCAACCCUCGCGCACCCUUUGGGGAGCACGGUGUUGGGGACCGGCAGCACACAGCCGACCCCGAAAUGGAGUGGCGGCCCGUCCGCGGCGACCUCUGCGUAGUAAUUAUCACCUCGCACCGGAAUCCCGACGUGGCCACGCCUCAAAACAACCCAAUUUCUGAACGUUGACCUCGGAUCAGGUAGGAAUACCCGCUGAACUUAA